RNAcentral lists this ribosomal RNA (630 nucleotides) under uncultured Alphaproteobacteria bacterium. Its description in RNAcentral is "bacterial SSU rRNA". It matches the Rfam family "Bacterial small subunit ribosomal RNA", at positions 56 to 732 of the family's 1533-position model. Lineage: Bacteria; Pseudomonadati; Pseudomonadota; Alphaproteobacteria. The record is from RNAcentral.
UGCAAGUCGAGCGCCGUAGCAAUACGGAGCGGCAGACGGGAGAGUAACACGUGGGAACGUGCCCUUCAGUUCGGAACAACCCAGGGAAACUUGGGCUAAUACCGGAUACGUCCGUAAGGAGAAAGAUUUAUCGCUGAAGGAUCGGCCCGCGUCUGAUUAGCUAGUUGGUGGGGUAACGGCCCACCAAGGCGACGAUCAGUAGCUGGUCUGAGAGGAUGAUCAGCCUCACUGGGACUGAGACACGGCCCAGACUCCUACGGGAGGCAGCAGUGGGGAAUAUUGGACAAUGGGCGCAAGCCUGAUCCAGCCAUGCCGCGUGGGUGAUGAAGGCCCUAGGGUUGUAAAGCCCUUUCGGCGGGGAAGAUAAUGACGGUACCCGCAGAAGAAGCCCCGGCUAACUUCGUGCCAGCAGCCGCGGUAAUACGAAGGGGGCUAGCGUUGCUCGGAAUCACUGGGCGUAAAGCGCACGUAGGCGGCUUUUUAAGUCAGGGGUGAAAUCCUGGAGCUCAACUCCAGAACUGCCCUUGAUACUGAGAAGCUUGAGUCCGGGAGAGGUGAGUGGAACUGCGAGUGUAGAGGUGAAAUUCGUAGAUAUUCGCAAGAACACCAGUGGCGAAGGCGGCUCACUGG